Molecule: ribosomal RNA, 333 nt
Filed under: Triticum aestivum (bread wheat)
Lineage: Eukaryota; Viridiplantae; Streptophyta; Magnoliopsida; Poales; Poaceae
Description: partial small subunit ribosomal RNA
Source: RNAcentral
AUGAGGCAACUACAUCAAAACCAUGCUCUCCCGUGGUUGCUGUUAGGCGAUCUCAAUGAAAUUCCGUUUCUCCAUGAAAAAGAGGGUGGAAACCUGCGUCCGGUUCAGUAUAUGAAGGCCUUCCAGGAUGUAAUAGAGGAUUGCCAGCUACAUGAUCUAGGCUUUAUUGGGGACCGAUUUACAUGGUUUAGAGGGAGAAUUCGGGAGAGGUUGGACAGAGCCUUGGUGAAUGAUUCUUGGUCCAAUCUUUUCUCACAAGCUGCUCUUGAAAACUUGGAGUAUAACCAUUCUGAUCACCGUCCAUUGCUAGUGGAUCUUGAGUACUAUAGAGGA